Molecule: long non-coding RNA, 929 nt
Organism: Haliotis rufescens (red abalone)
Lineage: Eukaryota; Metazoa; Mollusca; Gastropoda; Lepetellida; Haliotidae
Exons: 4
Source: RefSeq, a predicted model, not a curated record
ACACAUGUGAUGCUUGCCCUUGUAUCGUGGGAUGUACAAUUCUGAAAGUCAAAUGUCUGUAGCAGGGUAGUGCCAGGACAACGGCACAUUUUUCUGCAAUUCUUCAAAUAAUAGGCAAUGUCACAAAGGUGAGGCUCCUCUGCAUCGGCAGUGGUCUUGCGGUUGCAGCAGCAGCGGCAGGCGAUGCAGAUGAUGAUCCAGAUGAGGAUGAUGAGGGCGAUGGGGCCCAGCACUGCGGCAAUGAUCCACAACUUCUUGUCCUCCUCAGGGGGUUGGACGGGGACAGGUACAUAGGCUGAGAGGACAGAGAGAGAGUCUGUGUCUACGACAUAUCCGAGUCCGAGGGCUACUUCCUGGUGGUCAAGCAGCUCCAGCGUGUGCACCAUUUUGUCCGACGGAAUCAUCUUCCCAUCCUUCUCGGCCAGUCAGCAUGGCCAAACAGAUAGCUUGGGACAUGGAUCGACCGCUCGAAGUGAGCUCAGUCUGGCUUAUCAAGAUCAAUGAACACUAAUCCGUCGCCUGCGCUUCCAAUCUCAAUUUCAAAAGGACACCGCUUGAUAUACUUUUGUUUUUCCUUAUAAUCUGAAUAGGCAGAAAAUGACAACAUCAGGAGCUACCCACAGGUAGAAAAUAUCGAUCUCAUAGCAUCAGAAAUGUUACUGGAUUAUGAAUUAUAAAUGGAAACCUUUACAAUAACGUGAUACCUUUUCUUCGUUCGACUUCAAUUAAUACAGGUAUUCCCAAUGAUAUUGUGUAUGUUCAGAGAAGAAAAAAUGACAAUGUCAUUUGGGGGACAUGAAUACCGACAGUGAAAUCAAGUUCCGUGACAAGCGUAUUACAUGGAGAAGAAAGCAGAAGAACAUGUAUUACAUGUUAAGUUUGGCAGCUCAAAAUGAACAUCAUAACACGAGUGUCGACUUAACUCACCC